This 72-nucleotide transfer RNA is filed under the name Ovis aries (sheep). It matches the Rfam family "tRNA". From Rfam's summary of the family: Transfer RNA (tRNA) molecules are approximately 80 nucleotides in length. The record is from Rfam by way of RNAcentral. Lineage: Eukaryota; Metazoa; Chordata; Mammalia; Artiodactyla; Bovidae.
UCCUGUAUGGCUCAGUUGGUAAAGCAUCUGCCUGCAGUGCAGGAAAAUUGGGUUCAAAUUCCCUUGGAGAAG